This 518-nucleotide ribosomal RNA is filed under the name uncultured Planctomycetota bacterium. RNAcentral's name for it is "bacterial SSU rRNA". It matches the Rfam family "Bacterial small subunit ribosomal RNA", at positions 355 to 868 of the family's 1533-position model. The record is from RNAcentral. Lineage: Bacteria; Pseudomonadati; Planctomycetota.
UCGAGAAUCUUCGGCAAUGGACGCAAGUCUGACCGAGCGACGUCGCGUGCGGGAUGAAGGCCCUCGGGUUGUAAACCGCUGUCAGAGGGGAGGAAAUUACCGGGAGCUAUCUCCCAGUAUUGACCGAGCCUCAGAGGAAGCACGGGCUAAGUUCGUGCCAGCAGCCGCGGUAAUACGAACUGUGCGAACGUUGUUCGGAAUCACUGGGCUUAAAGGGUGCGUAGGCGGCGACUUAAGUAGGAUGUGAAAUCUCCCGGCUCAACCGGGGAACUGCGUUCUAAACUGGGUUGCUUGAGUGAGAUAGAGGUGUGCGGAACUUCCGGUGGAGCGGUGAAAUGUGUUGAUAUCGGAGGGAACACCGUUGGCGAAAGCGGCACACUGGGUCUUAACUGACGCUGAGGCACGAAAGCCAGGGGAGCGAAACGGGAUUAGAUACCCCGGUAGUCCUGGCUGUAAACGUUGAAUACUGGUUGGAAGGGGAUUCGUCCCAUUCCGACGUAGCGAAAGCGUUAAGUAUU